CCAUGUGAUCGCCGUCACAACGGUUCCACUCCUGAUCGCCGAUCAGACGCCGAUGCCGCAGAAGAGGCGCCGCCGCCGCAGGAGGUCUCCUCGCGAAGGACCCUCCCGCCGGCGCCGCGGUGAAGAAGGCGCAUCGUUGUCUGGAUCCCUUGUCGAAUCGGACAGCAGCAGCACGACAUCCAGCGCGCCGCCGUCCGGAUCCUUGGACGAGCCGCCGGUCGCCCGGCCGGCCCGCCAGUCCAGGUACCAUGAGAUCCUCGCCUCGCGCCUCGCCCGGCUGCAGUUACAAGCGGACGUCGCCGUCGCCGCCGCCGACAGCCCAAAUCUUCCUCCGGAUGAAAUUGUCCAAGUCCUCACUCAUUCUAAUUUCUAUGACGAUGAGCUGCCGGCUGCCCUAGUAGAAUAUCAAGCCCACAGGUUCUUGAGCGAACCCCACGGACCAGAUGUUGGAGAUGGACAUUUCGGAGAGGGCUCGGGCGAUGAUAUCACUAGGGAGGAAUUCGUCGAGUACUGCAGGAAGCUAAAGGCUCGCAGACCAGCUGAAAUUGACGCCAAGACUGGACUGAAUCAAGAGCAGUUGGACAGCCUCCUUGCCAAGUAUAAACGUUAUCGCUUCAAAGCUUACCUGUUGUUGUUUGGAAAGCCUGUCGAAGAGCUAGAAGAAGCUGCAUUGGAAUCCAAGUACCCUAUGGAGCUUGCCUUGGAGAAUGACUUCUUCUAUCCUUGCCUUCAUGAUAGCGCGUUUGGCUGGUAUUCACAACUUUGAGUCCGACCUCUGUUUACUUGCAAACUUGAGCGACUACCAGCGGCUAGUCCUCCCUAACUGUGGUGUGAAUGAGUAUGAAUAUGAAAGAUGGAGUCAGUACAAAGCGUUUCAUAACACCCCUGAUGCUGAUAGAGAGUAUGUGCUGUACUGGGAAAAGAUGGUCAGGGAAAUGAAGUGGCUUGAAAAUCAUGUGCUUAAAGAUUUUCUGGAGUGGGAGCCAAUGCGCCGUAAAGGUUUUACCAAUCAAUUAAGAUUGCCAAUAGGUUCACCAACAUUCAUUUGGAUCUAGCAUGUCAUGGUUUCGAGGUACGAUUCCUUUGUCCCUUGCUCAUUUAGAUGGUCAGCUCUAGUUAUGAUUGUAUUUAGCAAUCGCAAUCUUCCAAUUAAACUUAGGAGUAUGUAUGGAGGACUAGCCUUUAUCGUCUGUUUGUGGAAGGUCUUGACCGUGCCUUUCUUGAGAUUUGGAAGCGGGUCAAUCAGGCUCAGGUCAGCAUUGUACAUCAGAACUAAUUAACAACCGUUUAUAAUUAUUGACCGGGUUCGUCAAUGCUUUCUAACCCUGUAUAUGCUUGGUGGUGGUGUUUUCUUCUUUGUUGGAAAACUUGUAGAUGUGUUGCGGAGAUGCUCUGCAGGAUGUUUACAAUGAGAACGUGGUUCCAUCGCGCCAACAUACUUUGAAGGCUGAGCUGGAGC
RNA transcript from Triticum aestivum (bread wheat), 1459 nucleotides. RefSeq lists it as uncharacterized. NCBI's taxonomy places the organism in Eukaryota, Viridiplantae, Streptophyta, Magnoliopsida, Poales, Poaceae. The transcript has 5 exons. The record is from RefSeq and is a predicted model, not a curated record.